GACGAACGCUGGCGGCGUGCCUAAUACAUGCAAGUAGAACGCUGAAGGAGGAGCUUGCUUCUCCGGAUGAGUUGCUAACGGGUGAGUAACGCGUAGGUAACCUGCCUGGUAGCGGGGGAUAACUAUUGGAAACGAUAGCUAAUACCGCAUAAGAGUAGAUGCUGCAUGACAUUUGCUUAAAAGGUGCAAUUGCAUCACUACCAGAUGGACCUGCGUUGUAUUAGCUAGUUGGUGAGGUAACGGCUCACCAAGGCGACGAUACAUAGCCGACCUGCGAGGGGGUUGGGCCACACGGGGAGUGGGGCACGGCCCAAACUCCUAGGGGGGGCAGCGGUAGGGAAUUUUCGGCGAGGGAGGGAAGGCUGACCGGGCAACGCCGGGGGAGGGAAGAGGGUUUUCGGAUCGUAAAGCUCUGUUGGAAGGAAAGAACGAGUGUGGGGGGGGAAAGUUCCCCCUGUGACGGUUUCUUACCAGAAGGGGACGGCAAACUCCGG
This 494-nucleotide ribosomal RNA is filed under the name uncultured bacterium. RNAcentral describes it as "partial 16S ribosomal RNA". It matches the Rfam family "Bacterial small subunit ribosomal RNA", at positions 28 to 506 of the family's 1533-position model. The record is from RNAcentral.